GGCGGACGGGUGAGUAACGCGUGGGUAACCUGCCGUCAUACAGGGGGAUAACAGUUGGAAACGACUGCUAAGACCGCAUAACCCGCUAGUGUCGCAUGACACGGACGGAAAAUAUUUAUAGGUAUGAGAUGGGCCCGCGUCUGAUUAGCUAGUUGGUAAGGUAACGGCUUACCAAGGCGACGAUCAGUAGCCGACUUGAGAGAGUGAUCGGCCACAUUGGGACUGAGACACGGCCCAAACUCCUACGGGAGGCAGCAGUGGGGAAUAUUGGACAAUGGGGGAAACCCUGAUCCCAGCGACGCCGCGUGAGUGAAGAAGUAGUUUCGGUAUGUAAAGCUCUAUCAGCAGGGAAGAUAAUGACAGUACCUGACUAAGAAGCCCCGGCUAACUACGUGCCAGCCGCCGC
Molecule: ribosomal RNA, 406 nt
Filed under: uncultured bacterium
Lineage: Bacteria
Description: bacterial SSU rRNA
Rfam family: Bacterial small subunit ribosomal RNA
Source: RNAcentral